Molecule: unclassified non-coding RNA, 342 nt
Filed under: soil metagenome
Description: partial contains 5.8S ribosomal RNA, internal transcribed spacer 2, and large subunit ribosomal RNA
Rfam family: 5.8S ribosomal RNA (bases 1-120)
Source: RNAcentral
GAUGAAGAACGUAGCGAAAUGCGAUAAGUAAUGUGAAUUGCAGAAUCCAGUGAAUCAUCGAAUCUUUGAACGCACAUUGCGCCCGCCAGCAUUCUGGCGGGCAUGCCUGUUCGAGCGUCAUUUCAACCCUCGACCUCCCCUUGGGGAGGUCGGCGUUGGGGACCGGCAGCACACCGCCGGCCCUGAAAUGGAGUGGCGGCCCGUCCGCGGCGACCUCUGCGCAGUAAUACAGCUCGCACCGGGACCCCGACGCGGCCACGCCGUAAAACACCCAACUUCUGAACGUUGACCUCGAAUCAGGUAGGACUACCCGCUGAACUUAAGCAUAUCAAUAAGCGAGGA